AUGCUCCCAAGUGAUUUUGUGGCCUUAGGCCGACCAAGAGGCAUUACUGGUUCAGACUUGACCCAGUCCCCAAAUGAUCUGGUGGCUGUCGCCUAUCAAAGGGUGUUCGUUGGUUCGGACAUGACCAAAGCCCCCAGUGAUAUUGUGGCCUUAGGCCGACCAAGAGGCAUUACUGGUUCAAACUUGACUCAGUCCCCAAAUGAUCUGGUGGCUGUCGCCUAUCAAAGGGUGUUCGUUGGUUCGGACACGACCAAAGCCCCCGGUGAUAUUGUGGCAUUGCGCCGAUCAAGAGGUGUAGCUAUGGUUCGGAUACGACCAAGCCCCCAAGUGAUCAAUAAUAUGAUAAGCCAAUAA
RNAcentral lists this ribosomal RNA (354 nucleotides) under Triticum aestivum (bread wheat). RNAcentral's name for it is "partial small subunit ribosomal RNA". The record is from RNAcentral. Lineage: Eukaryota; Viridiplantae; Streptophyta; Magnoliopsida; Poales; Poaceae.